This is a long non-coding RNA of Tribolium castaneum (red flour beetle), 4013 nucleotides long. RefSeq lists it as uncharacterized. NCBI's taxonomy places the organism in Eukaryota, Metazoa, Arthropoda, Insecta, Coleoptera, Tenebrionidae. The record is from RefSeq and is a predicted model, not a curated record. The transcript has 3 exons.
UAUAAAUGUACGUGUUUGUAGAUACACUUGUAAAUCAAAUCGGUGCUGGUCAAAUUGACGAUAAUGAAGUCUUUGAAAAUUUUGCUGAUGAAUUUAACUUUAUUAAUAAAAAUGGAGAAAAUGAAUCAUUCAUAAAAAAGUUUAAUACAUUAGCGAGACGUAUGAGGUUUUCCUUUAAAGAUAAUGCGCCGGAGAAUCCAAUUGAAUGGAUGCAAAAUGCAAUUGAAGAACUGUUGGCGCACAUUUUUAGAGGAUUUUCAAGUGAUGACUAUGUCGGCUUAGUUCUCGAAAAUGAAGAAUUCCCCGAGCGACCUGUUUACAUUUCCUUCCGCAAAUUAUCCCAAUAUAAUGUCGCAAUGGUGAUGGAAACUGUAGGAAAUGUUCUUCAGAGCAAUCGUGCGUUCUUUGUUAAUGAUCGUUUAUCGAUACGGGUGGACAGGGUGGCUUUACCUGUGGGAAAAGGAUUUCGUACCGCCACCGAUGGAUUAGCCGUAAGUUAUAAUGAACAUUGUCUUAGUAAAAAUAGCAUAUAUGUUAUUGAAAAUGAUAACAAUAAUUGUUUAGCAUUAGCAUUAGUAGUCGCAAGAGAGUAUUGCAAUAAUAAUUUUAAAAGAUCCACUUUAGAAAAAUUUAAAGGAAUAAACGGGAAAAAACUUUUAGAACAAUUAGGUGCUGAAUUAUGUAGAGAGGCUGAUGUCGAUUUAGCAAAUGGAGGUAAUUACACACAUGUUGAGAAAUUUCAGAAAUAUUUGGCAAAUUAUACAAUUAUUGUAUACGAUGAUAGAAUGGGUCGAUCAGUGUACUAUGUCGGUCCACGGGCUCAAGGAAGGCCAAGUUUAAAUUUGAUAUUUGAGGAGAAUCAUUUCAAUGUAAUUCUAAGUACAACCGGUGCAUUCGCGACAGCGUAUUUCUGUGAUCUUUGCCGAGUACGAUAUUCACGUCGUGAUCGUCACAAAUCUUGCCCCUACACGUGUCCCUGUUGUUUAGAAAAGCCACCUUGUAAUUUAGUUCAUAGCGAUAUAAAAUGUCAAAAUUGUCAAAGAAAUUUUCGGGGUGCCCAAUGUUUUGAAAAUCAUAUUACAAAAAAUAUAUGCGCGAAAAUAAAAAAAUGCCCAACAUGUUUAACUUUCGUAAAACUUGAUUCUAAAAGUUCAAAACAUAUUUGCGGUAUGAAGUUUUGCCGAACCUGCGGUGUAAACAGACCAAUAAGGCAUUUUUGUUUCAUGAAACAAAACAAAAUUAAUCAAAACAAGCAAUUAGACAAUCAACACAAAUACUUAUUUGUUUAUUACGAUUUUGAAACAAGACAAGAAAAAACUAUCAAUAAUGCGUACCUACACGAAGUAAAUUUGUGUGUGGCACAACAAGUUUGUGCACAUUGUAUUAAUGAAGAUGACAUUUCAGUAAACUGUAAUUUUUGUGGAGUAAGACAACAUAUUUUUUAUGAGGACGCAGUAACAAAUUUGUUAAAUCAUAUCGCUAAACAAUCGAAAAAAUUCAAAGUUACAGCAAUCGCUCACAAUAUGAGAGGUUUCGAUGGCUGUUUUAUAUUACGUGAACUUUUUGCAAAUAGCAGUAGGUGGCAACCGGAGGUGGUUCGUUCGGGAACAAAAUUGUUAGUUAUAACUUGUGGUUCUUCAAUUCGUUUUAUAGACAGUUUAAAUUUUUUGCAGUUACCAUUAUCUCAAUUGCCUAAAGCAUUCAAUAUACAAGAAACAAAAGGUUAUUUUCCCCAUUUAUUUAACACUUUGAAUAAUCAAAAUUACAUAGGAAAAAUUCCCGAUCCUGAGUAUUACGGAUAUAACACUAUGAGUGAGAAAGAUCGUGUAAAAUUUUUAUCAUGGCAUUCAGAACAAGUGACCAAUAAUUUUGUGUUUAAUUUUCAAGUAGAAUUCCUUAAGUAUUGCAUUUCUGAUGUGGAUAUAUUGAGAAAAAGCUGUAUUCGAUUUCGGGAAUGUUUUUUGAAGACCAAUAAUGUAGAUCCGUUUUUAGAAUGCAUUACAAUCGCCUCAGCAUGCAAUUUAGUAUUCCGACGCAACUAUUUACGCGAAAAUUCAAUCGGUAUCAUACCAGUAUCUGGGUACAGAACCGCUGACAAACAAAGUGUCAUUGCUAUAAAUUGGCUACUUUGGGAAUCGAAAAAAAGUAACGUUCAUAUUAUCCAUAGCGGAAAUGCGCGAGAAGUCCGGUUAAAAGAGGGUAUGCUAGUUGACGGGUAUUGUGAAGAGACGAAUACCGUUUAUGAAUUCCAUGGGUGCUGGUGGCACGGGUGCGAGCUAUGUUUUUUUAAUCAAACCCAGAAAUUAUCCGAUAAAAACGACGCGUUAUUCUUGCGUCGUGAAAAUACACAAAGUAAAGAAGAGAGUAUUAGAACAUAUGGCUAUAACUUAAUUACAAUGAGGGAAUGUAUAUUUAAAGACCAAAUUAAAGAGAACCCAGAAUUAAAAAAUUUCAUUGAUAAUCGAAAUUAUUUGAAUAAACACACUCCUUUAAACCCACGCGAUGGCUUCUUUGGAGGAAGAACAAAUGCUUGUAAAUUAUAUUAUAAAUGUAAUGAAAACGAGAAAAUAGCUUAUCAGGAUGUUUGUUCCCUAUACCCAUUCAUUAAUAAAUACGGGAAAUAUCCAAUUGGGCAUCCGAAAAAGAUUUAUGUUGGGCAAGAGGAAUGCGCAAAUGUCGACCUAAAUUCUGUCGAAGGUUUAGUAAAGUGCACUGUAUUACCUCCUGCUCAACUUUACCAUCCUGUGUUACCAUUUCGAUGUAAUGGAAAAUUGACAUUUCCAUUAUGUCGUACCUGCGCUGAAGCUAAUUAUCAAGACAAUUGUUUUCACGAGGAUGUCGAUCGGCAAUUUACUGGGACAUAUGUGGCCGAUGAAUUACGUGUAGCUAUUGAAGAAGGGUACAGUAUAGUGGAACUUAUUGAAAUUUGGGAAUACAAUGUAGAAAUUUACGAUCGGGGUAAUAAAUCGGGCGGACUCUUUUCAGAAUACAUUAAUGCAUUCGUAAAAUUAAAGGUCGAGUGUUCUGGUUGGCCAUCUUGGGUAAGUACCGAUGAAGACAAAAAUGUAUAUAUUCAACAAUACGAGGAACGAGAAGGUAUAAAACUCGAUCCAACCAACGUAUCAAAAAAUUCCGGUCUCAGAUUUCUCGCUAAAAUAAUGUUAAACAGCUUUUGGGGAAAGUUUGGCCAAAAGGAAAAUCUUAAAAAAACUGAUAUAAUUAGCGAUCCCCAUGAGCUGUUUAAGUUGCUAACAAAUCAAUCUGCAAUUGUAAAUAGUCUAUUACAUAUUAACGAAGACGUUAUUCUGGCAACAUGGGAACGUGUAGAGGAAGAUAUAGCGCCCAUGAAAACGGUAAAUGUAGCUCUUGCAUGCUAUACAACAGCCGGUGCACGCUUAGAAUUAUAUAAGUAUUUAAAACCCCUUGGCAAAAGGGUAUUGUAUUUUGAUACCGAUAGUAUCAUUUUCGUUAAAAAAGAAGGGGAAUAUGAACCUCCUACUGGCGAUUUCCUAGGUGACCUCACUGACGAAAUGAUUGAAUAUGGCGAAGGUAGUUAUAUAACUGAAUUUGUCAGUGGGGGUCCUAAAAAUUAUGCCUACAAAUUUUGGAAUGAAAAUGAGCACAAAAUUCAAACUGUGUGUAAAGUCAAGGGGUUAAGUUUGCAUUAUCAAAAUGCUCAAUUAGUUAAUUUCGACAAAAUAAAAGACAUGCUGUGUAAUAACACCGACCAAACUGUUAAAUUGACCGAUCGCACAAUAAUUCGAAAUGAGACUUAUGAUGUUAUGACAAAAGAAACAACUAAGACGUAUCGUAUAAAUUAUACAAAACGACGACGUUUAGAUGAUGGUUCUUUUGACACCUUACCAUAUGGCUAUAGAGAUGUAUAAUAAUAUAAGAUGUAUUAUUUAAUCUUUUAAUAAAUAAAUAAAUCUAAUAAAUAUGAUUUCUGUGAUUUUAUUUUGAUUUAACCCAGAAUGUGUGUGUGUGUGUGUCGCGCCCGUCCCCGCGCCGCC